This 235-nucleotide ribosomal RNA is filed under the name uncultured bacterium. Its description in RNAcentral is "partial 16S ribosomal RNA". It matches the Rfam family "Bacterial small subunit ribosomal RNA", at positions 118 to 350 of the family's 1533-position model. The record is from RNAcentral.
UGGGCAACCUGCCCUCAGCACUGGGAUAAACCCCGGGAAACCGGAGCUAAUUACCAGAUACGACCUCGGCGGACAUCCGCUGUGGUGGAAAGCGUUAGUGGCUGAGGAUGGGCCCGCGGCCUAUCAGCUUGUUGGUGGGGUAAUGGCCUACCAAGACGACGACGGGUAGCCGGCCUGAGAGGGCGACCGGCCACACUGGGACUGAGACACGGCCCAGACCUCCGUACGGGAGGCA